This 29-nucleotide unclassified non-coding RNA is filed under the name Dictyostelium discoideum. The record is from RNAcentral. Lineage: Eukaryota; Evosea; Eumycetozoa; Dictyosteliales; Dictyosteliaceae.
AAAGGGAUCGUUACCCUUCUUCUCCACCA